Molecule: ribosomal RNA, 228 nt
Filed under: Clostridioides difficile
Lineage: Bacteria; Bacillati; Bacillota; Clostridia; Peptostreptococcales; Peptostreptococcaceae
Description: partial 23S ribosomal RNA
Rfam family: Bacterial large subunit ribosomal RNA
Source: RNAcentral
AGUCCACAUCGACGGGGAGGGUUAGCACCACGAUGUCAGCGCAUCACAUCCUGGGGCUGUAGUAGGGCCCAAGGGUUGGGCUGUUCGGCCAUUAAAGUGGUACGCGAGCUGGGUUCAGAACGUCGUGGGACAGUUCGGUCCCUAUCCGGCGCAGGCGGAGGAAAUUUGAGAAGACCUGUCCUUAGUACGAGAGGACCGGGAUGGACGUACCUCUGGUGUACCAGUUGU